RNAcentral lists this small nuclear RNA (107 nucleotides) under Castor canadensis (American beaver). Lineage: Eukaryota; Metazoa; Chordata; Mammalia; Rodentia; Castoridae. The record is from RNAcentral.
AUACUCACUUCAGCAGCACAUAUACUAAAAUUGGAACAAUACAGAGAAUAUUAGCAUGGUCCCUGCACAAGGAUGACAUGCAGCUUUGUGAAGCCUUCCAUAUUUUU